GCUUAGUUCUCGGAAAUUGAUGGACCAAUGUUGAUGGAACUAUAACAUAAUGUUAAUCACCAUGUGCAGUUUUGCACCUUACCUUGGAAUUAAAAAAAUGGCUGCCAUUGCCAUGGAAACAGCAAAAAUGUGAAAAAUAGAAAUGUGUUCCAAUUUAUAUGAAACUUCUAUGAUAUUAAGAGAGUCAUGCACACUUCAACAUGGUACAUUUUUUUUUCAACUGGGGGGUCUCUAGACAUAAUUUGAGGGGGGGUGAAUUUUUCAUGGAACAUUCCAGAACAUAAGUGUUAAAAUAGUUCAACAGACAUUAAAUGUUAUAUAAUAGUAUAUUCUUAGGGGGAGAACAAUAUGCAGCAGUAGUUUGACUUUGGAAUUUUUAAAAUGGCGGCCGUUACCAUGGAAACAGCAAAAAUAUGAAAAACUCCAAAAUGCUUCAAAUUUAAUGAAACUUAAAACAAAUGUUGCCUAGCUAUUGUAGACUUGACUUUUGAGUUUUUAAUUUCCAAAAUGGCCGCCGUUGCCAUGGAAACGGCACAAUUGUUGAAAACAGAAAAACGUACAUAAAGCUAUGAAAACUGACAGAAAGAUCUUUUGUUAUGGAUAUAUCUGCAUUUACUGAUGGAACAUUUCGAAAUGGCUGCCGUUUAGUGGCAAUUGGGGAACCAGGGUGACAUCCGCUAUUGCUUGCAAUGGCAAUUCUAGUU
This 704-nucleotide long non-coding RNA is filed under the name Mytilus galloprovincialis (Mediterranean mussel). The record is from RNAcentral. Lineage: Eukaryota; Metazoa; Mollusca; Bivalvia; Mytilida; Mytilidae.